GACGAACUGUUCUAACGUUAUUCGGAAUCACUGGGCUUAAAGGGCGCGUAGGCUGUUUGUUAAGCGGGGUCUGAAAUCCCUCGGCUCAACCGAGGAACUGGGCUUCGAACUGGCAGACUAGAGUGAAGUAGGGGUAAGCGGAACUUGCGGUGGAGCGGUGAAAUGCUUUGAUAUCGCAAGGAACACCGGCGGCGAAGGCGGCUUACUGGGCUUCAACUGACGCUUAAGCGCGAAAGCUAGGGUAGCGAACGGGAUUAGAUACCCGCGUAGUCCCUGAGCGGGCUGG
This 286-nucleotide ribosomal RNA is filed under the name uncultured prokaryote. RNAcentral describes it as "partial 16S ribosomal RNA". It matches the Rfam family "Bacterial small subunit ribosomal RNA", at positions 524 to 812 of the family's 1533-position model. The record is from RNAcentral.